CGCGCAGGCCCCGCCCCUCGCUCGUCACGUCGCAUCCCACCCCGCCCGCCGCCGUCCUUCUGUGCGCGUGCGCACUUCCCUCUUGCAAAACCCUCGGCGAGAUAGUCAAGAAAGGCGAGCUUGCGUGGGUGGCAAAGUUAAGGGCGCCAUCUACGGGUAGAUCUGACUCGCUUGUGGGCCUCGACCCGAGGAGAGUCGGGAAGGAAGAGAGACCCGGUGAGAGAGGAGGCCCACCCAGGAGGAGAAGUCAGUUGGAGGACACUGAGGGGGCUGCGGAGGUGCAGGACUCCCGAGGAGGACGCUGGAGAGAGGGAAGGAGGACAAAGGAGUCAGGAGUGUUCAGGCCUGGCCUAAACCAGCAGAACAAAGCAAACGGGCUUUCAGCGGACAACAGCAGCUUCUCAGAAAAUAGAGCAAGAGGAAGAGGCAGACAAGGUAAAUGUUGGGCUGCUGAAUCCUGCACUGCAGACUUCUUGAGGAAUGCCCGUGGGCAGGGCUGAGCAGGAAUCUAUCCCAACAUUUAAAGACCUCAGUUUAUUCACUGUCCGUUGGGGGACAUCCUGGAGGGACUGCAGAGAUGAGUGUCAGCUUCAGGGACCUGAAGGCCCGCCGCACUCCCACUCCAUUGGAGCCAGCUUGCACGUUCUGCACAGUGUGGGAGCAGCCCCGAGCAUGGGGAGCACAGCCCUUCGGCUCUUCCUGGGAUGAGCCUGCGGGGAGGCUCUGAAAGGGACUUCUUCCAGCAGAGCAUACACAGCUUUAAGCCAUAUGCCUUUGCCUGAAACAAGAAAUAAAGCAAGAGGUGCAAAGGAAUACAUUAAUCACAAGAGUAAAUAUAAUUCCUUAUUAAAAAAAAGCAAGAGAUGCAAUCAUAUACCCAGUCAUGGGCUGUCGCCCGUCAGGUACUUGGAAGAAACAUGACUGGAAAACUGGUGAGAAGGAAAUGUAGAUAAACUCUGAGUGGGCAAAAACCCCAAAAGACAUUUAUGUCUGGUAUGAAUGCUCCCCAAGUGUGUUACUUUUCUCUCAUUGCUGAGACAAAACACUUGACACCCAAAGUUACAAGGGAAAGAUUUAUGUGGUGUACAGUUUGUAGAGGUUUCAGUCCAUAACUGACUGUCUCCAAGGCAGGGUGGCAGAGGAGCAACAGUUCAUGGCAGAAGAAAACAGAAAAGCAGCAAAGAAGCUUAGCAGCAUCUUUCUGCCCUUUAUCUUAUGCAGACUGCUCAGCAAGUAGCACUCAUGCCCUUAAUCCUAGUGCCCUCAGGCCUAGCACUGCACCAUGAGUCAAUCACACACGCUAGAUUCAGCCCUUCUGAGAAAGCUUGAGGCUUGGGGGGACAUCUAAACACAAGCCACAGCACCAGGGGCAAAUUCAGGAGGGGCAUGAAUAGCAGAGCACCU
This 1404-nucleotide long non-coding RNA is filed under the name Fukomys damarensis (Damara mole-rat). RNAcentral describes it as "lncRNA (ENSFDAG00000024063.1)". Lineage: Eukaryota; Metazoa; Chordata; Mammalia; Rodentia; Bathyergidae. The record is from RNAcentral.